This 510-nucleotide unclassified non-coding RNA is filed under the name uncultured Glomus. RNAcentral describes it as "SSU rRNA". It matches the Rfam family "Eukaryotic small subunit ribosomal RNA", at positions 569 to 1081 of the family's 1831-position model. Lineage: Eukaryota; Fungi; Glomeromycota; Glomeromycetes; Glomerales; Glomeraceae. The record is from RNAcentral.
AGCAGCCGCGGUAAUUCCAGCUCCAAUAGCGUAUAUUAAAGUUGUUGCAGUUAAAAAGCUCGUAGUUGAAUUUCGGGAUCAUCAUGUCGGUCGUGCCUCGGUACGUACUGGCAUUGUUGGUUUCUACCUUCUGACGAACCAUGAUGUCAUUUAUUUGGUGUCGUGGGAAAUCAGGACUGUUACUUUGAAAAAAUUAGAGUGUUUAAAGCAGGCUCACGCUUGAAUACAUUAGCAUGGAAUAAUGAAAUAGGACGUUUGAUUCUAUUUUGUUGGUUUCUAGGAUCGACGUAAUGAUUAAUAGGGAUAGUUGGGGGCAUUAGUAUUCAAUUGUCAGAGGUGAAAUUCUUGGAUUUUAUUGAAGACUAACUACUGCGAAAGCAUUUGCCAAGGAUGUUUUCAUUAAUCAAGAACGAAAGUUAGGGGAUCGAAGACGAUCAGAUACCGUCGUAGUCUUAACCAUAAACUAUGCCGACUAGGGAUCGGAUGAUGUUAAUUUUUAAUGACUCAUUC